CUAGCCUCAAGUGAUGAUUAUUGGAGGUAGAGCACUGUUUGGACGAGGGGCCCCUCUCGGGUUACCGAAUUCAGACAAACUCCGAAUGCCAAUUAAUUUAACUUGGGAGUCAGAACAUGGGUGAUAAGGUCCGUGUUCGAAAGGGAAACAGCCCAGACCACCAGCUAAGGUCCCAAAAUAUAUGUUAAGUGGAAAAGGAUGUGGCGUUGCCCAGACAACUAGGAUGUUGGCUUAGAAGCAGCCAUCAUUUAAAGAGUGCGUAAUAGCUCACUAGUCGAGUGACACUGCGCCGAAAAUGUACCGGGGCUAAACAUAUUACCGAAGCUGUGGAUUGUCCUUUGGACAAUGGUAGGAGAGCGUUCUAAGGGCGUUGAAGCAUGAUCGUAAGGACAUGUGGAGCGCUUAGAAGUGAGAAUGCCGGUGUGAGUAGCGAAAGACGGGUGAGAAUCCCGUCCACCGAUUGACUAAGGUUUCCAGAGGAAGGCUCGUCCGCUCUGGGUUAGUCGGGUCCUAAGCUGAGGCCGACAGGCGUAGGCGAUGGAUAACAGGUUGAUAUUCCUGUACCACCUAUAAUCGUUUUAAUCGAUGGGGGGACGCAGUAGGAUAGGCGAAGCGUGCGAUUGGAUUGCACGUCUAAGCAGUAAGGCUGAGUAUUAGGCAAAUCCGGUACUCGUUAAGGCUGAGCUGUGAUGGGGAGAAGACAUUGUGUCUUCGAGUCGUUGAUUUCACACUGCCGAGAAAAGCCUCUAGAUAGAAAAUAGGUGCCCGUACCGCAAACCGACACAGGUAGUCAAGAUGAGAAUUCUAAGGUGAGCGAGCGAACUCUCGUUAAGGAACUCGGCAAAAUGACCCCGUAACUUCGGGAGAAGGGGUGCUCUUUAGGGUUAACGCCCAGAAGAGCCGCAGUGAAUAGGCCCAAGCGACUGUUUAUCAAAAACACAGGUCUCUGCUAAACCGUAAGGUGAUGUAUAGGGGCUGACGCCUGCCCGGUGCUGGAAGGUUAAGAGGAGUGGUUAGCUUCUGCGAAGCUACGAAUCGAAGCCCCAGUAAACGGCGGCCGUAACUAUAACGGUCCUAAGGUAGCGAAAUUCCUUGUCGGGUAAGUUCCGACCCGCACGAAAGGCGUAACGAUUUGGGCACUGUCUCAACGAGAGACUCGGUGAAAUCAUAGUACCUGUGAAGAUGCAGGUUACCCGCGACAGGACGGAAAGACCCCGUGGAGCUUUACUGUAGCCUGAUAUUGAAAUUCGGCACAGCUUGUACAGGAUAGGUAGGAGCCUUUGAAACGUGAGCGCUAGCUUACGUGGAGGCGCUGGUGGGAUACUACCCUAGCUGUGUUGGCUUUCUAACCCGCACCACUUAUCGUGGUGGGAGACAGUGUCA
Molecule: ribosomal RNA, 1383 nt
Filed under: Staphylococcus aureus DAR3609
Lineage: Bacteria; Bacillati; Bacillota; Bacilli; Caryophanales; Staphylococcaceae
Description: bacterial LSU rRNA
Rfam family: Bacterial large subunit ribosomal RNA
Source: RNAcentral